This 420-nucleotide ribosomal RNA is filed under the name uncultured bacterium. Its description in RNAcentral is "bacterial SSU rRNA". It matches the Rfam family "Bacterial small subunit ribosomal RNA", at positions 355 to 787 of the family's 1533-position model. The record is from RNAcentral.
UGGGGAAUAUUGGGCAAUGGGCGCAAGCCUGACCCAGCAACGCCGCGUGAAGGAAGAAGGCUUUCGGGUUGUAAACUUCUUUUCUUGGGGACGAAGAAAGUGACGGUACCCAAGGAAUAAGCCACGGCUAACUACGUGCCAGCAGCCGCGGUAAUACGUAGGUGGCAAGCGUUAUCCGGAUUUAUUGGGUGUAAAGGGCGUGUAGGCGGGAAUGCAAGUCAGAUGUGAAAACUAUGGGCUCAACCCAUAGCCUGCAUUUGAAACUGUAUUUUCUUGAGUGCUGGAGAGGCAAUCGGGAAUUCCGUGUGUAGCGGUGAAAUGCGUAGAUAUACGGAGGAACACCAGUGGCGAAGGCGGAUUGCUGGACAGUAACUGACGCUGAGGCGCGAAAGCGUGGGGAGCAAACAGGAUUAGAUACCC